Molecule: long non-coding RNA, 544 nt
Organism: Humulus lupulus (European hop)
Lineage: Eukaryota; Viridiplantae; Streptophyta; Magnoliopsida; Rosales; Cannabaceae
Exons: 3
Source: RefSeq, a predicted model, not a curated record
AUCGCCUCCCACUAAGUCAUUCCGGUCAACUCACCAUUUUUCUCCAGCGAGAUUUUGGGUAUCUUCGCCCCUUUGGAAGCAUUUUCCGGCGACACCGGAGGUCAUUUGGGCGAAGGAGCUGUACUUUCGUGAUGUACUCAUCGGGAUUAUCGUUUUGAUAUAUGCCAUGCAUAUAUUCGUUGACGUUUCCGGUACCGCCACCAACCGCUAUUGUGCACCGCUUGGGAAAAACAUGAUAUUAAAAUCGGACUAAAUCAUUCUAAGAUCAUCGAUAAGCUUAGGAGCGUUGCUUUGGGCUCGGAUUAAAUUCUAAGGAGAUAUCUAAAGAGGAGCCUAGUGACGCGAACGUGGAAAUGAUGAAUUAUCGAUGGAGCCAAUGUGUUUAGCCUAUUUCUAUUUCGGGUCAUUGCCUUAUCUUUUGAGCAUUAUAUAUGUAUUCGACUUCGAAUCUAAUGAUCGGUAUAUCUGAAUGAGCUAUGAAAUAGUUAGGGAUGAGGAAUGGUGGAUGCUAAGUAUUAUUUUGAGUGUUUAUGACUUAUUAAAU